UUUAUGUCAUUAUGCAAAACAUUAAAAAAAACCCAUCUUACGACAUAUUAAGUUUGUUAAAUGAAAAUAGAGAAAACGCUAUUUUGUAUGAAAGGUAAUUAAUAACAUAAUCCUUACUUAUUUGAGUGUGUAUAAGUGUCUAUAUAUAUAUAUUUUUUUUAUACAUUUUUUAUAUAUUUUUUUUUUUUUACAUUUUUUAUAUAUUUUUUUAUCUUUUGUUAUAUGCUGAUCGUUAUGAUCAUUUUUCACGCUUUUUCAGAUUUCAAAUAUUUAAAAACAAUUUAAAAAAGAAUAUUAGUCAAUUGGCUAAAGUGAAAGAAUACAUGCAAUCACUAUGCAAGGACACAAUCGAUUUAGACACAUUUAAAAAAUAUAUAAACGAAGAACACUUCGAAAAUGAAAAGGAAUUAACAGAUAUUAUAAAAAGAGAAGUUGAGAUCCAACUAAUUGAAUAUAUUAGACAAAAUCGUGAACUACUAAAUGUAUAUUACUUACCCAAAGUAUAAUUUUUAAAAAAAUUAACUUUCUUUUUUAUUUAUUUAUAAUUUUUUUUUUUUUUUUUGUUGAGACACUUGGAACGACUAUGACAGUGUCUAUACACGUAUGCUAACUCUCUCGCUCAUUAUAUAUGAAUACAUGCAAGUUUCUUUUUUUAUGAAAACUGUAUGUUCAUCGAAUUUUCAUUUACAUUUACACUUACAUUUAUCAUUUUUUUUUUUUUUUUUUUUUUUUUUUUUACGAUUACGAUAGAAUUGUUAUGCUUUUUCUUUUUUUUUUUUAUUUCUAAAAUUAAACUUACAUCUUAAAACUAAUGAUAUAUGCUUGUUUUCUAUUUUGAAAAAAAAAAAUGAUAGUGUGUUUAAAUUUUUUUUAAUUUGAAAAAUAUUUUGUACAUGUUUCGAUAAAGAGUAUUUACUCAUGUACAAGAGUAAGCAUACAUAUAUACAUGUGUUGUGUAUGUAUGUAUACAUACAUGAACGUCUGUUUGUGUAUCUAUAUGUGAAGGGUAUCCAAAUGUUUAAUUUAAGUAAAAAAAAAAAAAAAAAAAAAA
Molecule: long non-coding RNA, 1051 nt
Filed under: Piliocolobus tephrosceles (Ugandan red Colobus)
Lineage: Eukaryota; Metazoa; Chordata; Mammalia; Primates; Cercopithecidae
Description: lncRNA (ENSPTEG00000014260.1)
Source: RNAcentral